GUUUUGAUAGUUUAUAUGAAAACUUUGGUCUUGUAAACCAAAAAAGAAUAUUAAAAUUCUCAAAGCA
Molecule: transfer RNA, 67 nt
Filed under: Panulirus ornatus
Lineage: Eukaryota; Metazoa; Arthropoda; Malacostraca; Decapoda; Palinuridae
Description: tRNA-Thr
Rfam family: tRNA
About the family: Transfer RNA (tRNA) molecules are approximately 80 nucleotides in length. Their secondary structure includes four short double-helical elements and three loops (D, anti-codon, and T loops). Further hydrogen bonds mediate the characteristic L-shaped molecular structure. tRNAs have two regions of fundamental functional importance: the anti-codon, which is responsible for specific mRNA codon recognition, and the 3' end, to which the tRNAs corresponding amino acid is attached (by aminoacyl-tRNA synthetases). tRNAs cope with the degeneracy of the genetic code in two manners: having more than one tRNA (with a specific anti-codon) for a particular amino acid; and 'wobble' base-pairing, i.e. permitting non-standard base-pairing at the 3rd anti-codon position.
Source: RNAcentral